This is a long non-coding RNA of Poecilia latipinna (sailfin molly), 1077 nucleotides long. RefSeq lists it as uncharacterized. The record is from RefSeq and is a predicted model, not a curated record. NCBI's taxonomy places the organism in Eukaryota, Metazoa, Chordata, Actinopteri, Cyprinodontiformes, Poeciliidae. The transcript is spliced from 3 exons.
CUGGUUAAACAGGGCAUUAAAAAUAAAUGAAUUUUACAGCUUGAUUUUAUUUCAUUUGAUGCAGGUGUCAAGAGUUUCUCAACACACAGUUCAUAAAUUUCCCAAAGGCGUUUGCAGAAUGAACUGUGUGACACGGCUCCCCUCUAGAUUACGUGUAAUGGUGGUUACAUUUGUAGGGAAAACUUUACAACCAAACCAAUAUGUCACAAGAACUGCAUGUCAAAAUUUCUGAACAGUGAAGUAAAUGUUUGUUUGUGAACGAAAAGACAAUUAUUACCAAAGAGAUUAGUCAUUGCAACAAAAUAAAAUAACAUUUUCUUUUGGCGCUUACUUGGUCAUUUCAGCACUGAUGGCGUUAUCAAAUAAUCGUUGAUUAGUUUGAUUUUACCUAAGACUUAUAGAUUUAUUUAUUUAUUUUCGAAAGAUGUCAAUAAGGAGUAAAUGCCAAUGAUUAAUACAUGGUAAGUUAUUACUGUUGUCAAAAUAAUUAAUGCUUUCACGUAAUUGAUAGAAAAAAUAUAUAUUUAAAGAUGUUCAUUUGCAUCAAAUCCACACUCGCCCAAAUGGUUGUCCUUCCUGCAGCCUCUCCUGACCAAAACAAGCUGCUGCCGGAAGUUUUAAACUCUGCUAUAGCAUAGCGAGUAAAUCAACAAAUAACUUAUUCGACCAACUUAAGCGGACAAGCCGAACGCAGCAGCGUUGCUCCAAGAAAAUAAUGCUGAGUGAUGCUACAAGCUAAUGCUAUGAAACGGAUGUUUAACAACAACUUAAAAAGGGGUCAUCGAGUGUGCAUCACUUUCAAUACAGCCUAACCCACUGACCCAGCUGGCAUGUCCUGCCGGUCCAUCCUGGCGGACAGAGACACCGGAAACUCCCAGGAGCCUCCUGACAAGUCGCUCCACGUCCGCAGGGGUUGCGAUCACAUUGCCGCACCGCUGGGAUGAGAAAGAGAGAACAACAUUUCGUUCGUGAGCUGCUGGUCUGGGUAAGGGGAAUGCUUCCCAUGUGUGCGGAAUCGACAAUCACCGUCUGCACAGGUGUUUCCGGUCCAGCCUUCGGGGCAGACGCAGCUGAAGC